Molecule: ribosomal RNA, 497 nt
Filed under: uncultured bacterium
Lineage: Bacteria
Description: partial 16S ribosomal RNA
Rfam family: Bacterial small subunit ribosomal RNA
Source: RNAcentral
GAUGAACGCUGGCGGCGUGCCUAAUACAUGCAAGUCGAGCGAACAGACGAGGAGCUUGCUCCUCUGACGUUAGCGGCGGACGGGUGAGUAACACGUGGAUAACCUACCUAUAAGACUGGGAUAACUUCGGGAAACCGGAGCUAAUACCGGAUAAUAUAUUGAACCGCAUGGUUCAAUAGUGAAAGACGGUUUUGCUGUCACUUAUAGAUGGAUCCGCGCCGCAUUAGCUAGUUGGUAAGGUAACGGCUUACCAAGGCAACGAUGCGUAGCCGACCUGAGAGGGUAAUCGGCAACACUGGAACUGGGACACGGUCCAGACUACUACGGGAGGCAGCAGUAGGGAAUCUUCCGCAAAGGGCGAAAGCCUGACGGAGCAACGCCGCGUGAGUGAUGAAGGUCUUCGGAUCGUAAAACUCUGUUAGUAGGGAAGAACAAAUGUGUAAGUAACUAUGCACGUCUUGACGGUACCUAAUCAGAAAGCCACGGCUAACUACGUG